UUUAGUCUCAUGUUGGAAGAAACUUUAAACAGACCUCUAUCAGAGACUUUGGAAGAUGAUAUUCCUGAGCAGGAACUUGGAGAAUAUUUACAUUCUUAUAAACAACUCAAUACUGGCACAGGGACGCCGCAGGAUGAUGAUAUCGAGGAGAAUGUCUUUGCUCUCGUUGACUCGGAUGUAGAAAAUGAUUUUCCAAUUGAUGACAAAAGAACGUUCAUCUAAAAGCAACUUACAAUUGGAAUAAUUCAUUUUGCUUGUUCUGUGACCAUGUCUUCAAGAAGCUAAUGAGUGAAUGUUCUAGCUUCCUCUGCAGAAGGCUAUAUGAAUAUAUUCUACAUCUAGUAUAGAUAGGAAGGAAUUAAGGCGUGCACGAACUCAGGACUGGAUUUUCCUCGAUUAGAAAUGACUUUGGCUCUAGCACUGACCUUCAAUUAAAAUUGAACUCGACGCUUUGGUUUGUGUACGCCGAUUUGUUUCAAACUGUAACAGAUAAUCAUUGAAUUAUGAUUUUUGCUGUCGCAAACACUUUCAAGUUAACCCCAAGCUGACAGUUGGGAAGUUUACUAGGCGGUUUUUCUUUAGCCAAUGUCUAGGAUUAAGUACUAUUUAAAACAUGAGCUGCAGUGUUUUAUCGGAUAUAAAGAUACGAGGCAAAGCCGAGUAUCUAUAGGUCUGAUAAAACACGCCGACUGCGAUGCGAAUGUUUUAAAUUGCUUCCAAAACGUAAUUUUCAAAAGUAUACGUUGUAUAAGUCGAG
This is a non-coding RNA of Paramuricea clavata, 757 nucleotides long. Lineage: Eukaryota; Metazoa; Cnidaria; Anthozoa; Malacalcyonacea; Plexauridae. The record is from the annotation of a GenBank genome assembly.